This 253-nucleotide ribosomal RNA is filed under the name uncultured Legionella sp. RNAcentral's name for it is "partial 16S ribosomal RNA". It matches the Rfam family "Bacterial small subunit ribosomal RNA", at positions 524 to 776 of the family's 1533-position model. The record is from RNAcentral. Lineage: Bacteria; Pseudomonadati; Pseudomonadota; Gammaproteobacteria; Legionellales; Legionellaceae.
UACGGAGGGUGCGAGCGUUAAUCGGAAUUACUGGGCGUAAAGAGUGCGUAGGUGGUUUAGUAAGUUAGCUGUGAAAUUCCUGGGCUCAACCUGGGCGUGUGAGCUAAUACUGUUAGACUUGAGUACGGGAGAGGGUAGUGGAAUUUCCGGUGUAGCGGUGAAAUGCGUAGAGAUCGGAAGGAACACCAGUGGCGAAGGCGGCUACCUGGCCUAGUACUGACACUGAGGCACGAAAGCGUGGGGAGCAAACAGG